ACACAUGCAAGUCGAACGGAAGUUAGAGCUUCGGUUUUAACUUUAGUGGCGAACGGGUGAGUAACGCGUGAGGAACCUGCCUUUCAGUGGGGGACAACAGUUGGAAACGACUGCUAAUACCGCAUGACACUUUUGGGGGACAUCCCUUAAAAGUCAAAGCUUUAUGUGCUGAAAGAUGGCCUCGCGUCUGAUUAGCUGGUUGGUGAGGUAACGGCUCACCAAGGCGACGAUCAGUAGCCGGUCUGAGAGGAUGAACGGCCACAUUGGGACUGAGAUACGGCCCAGACUCCUACGGGAGGCAGCAGUGGGGAAUAUUGGGCAAUGGGGGAAACCCUGACCCAGCAACGCCGCGUGAAGGAAGAAGGCCUUCGGGUUGUAAACUUCUUUUACCAGGGACGAAGGACGUGACGGUACCUGGAGAAAAAGCAACGGCUAACUACGUGCCAGCAGCCGCGGUAAUACGUAGGUUGCAAGCGUUGUCCGGAUUUACUGGGUGUAAAGGGCGUGUAGGCGGAGAUGCAAGUUGGGAGUGAAAUCCAUGGGCUCAACCCAUGAACUGCUCUCAAAACUGUAUCCCUUGAGUAUCGGAGAGGCAAGCGGAAUUCCUAGUGUAGCGGUGAAAUGCGUAGAUAUUAGGAGGAACACCAGUGGCGAAGGCGGCUUGCUGGACGACAACUGACGCUGAGGCGCGAAAGCGUGGGGAGCAAACAGGAUUAGAUACCCUGG
Molecule: ribosomal RNA, 726 nt
Filed under: uncultured bacterium
Lineage: Bacteria
Description: bacterial SSU rRNA
Rfam family: Bacterial small subunit ribosomal RNA
Source: RNAcentral